GAUGAACGCUGGCGGCAUGCCUUAGACAUGCAAGUCGAACGAAGAAUAGUGAACGGAAAUUUCGGUGGAAGAUUACUAUUACUUAGUGGCGAACGGGUGAGUAACAGGUAGGUAACCUACCCUAGAGUCGGGGAUAACGUUUGGAAACGAACGCUAAUACCGGAUAGGAUAUAAAAUCGCAUGAUUAAAUAUUUAAAGAUGCUACGGCAUCACUCUAGGAGGGACCUGCUCCGUAUUAGAUAGUUGGUGAGGUAGAGGCUCACCAAGUCAACGAUGCGUAGCCGGGCUGAGAGGCUGAUCGGCCACACUGGAACUGAGACACGGUCCAGACUCCUACGGGAGGCAGCAGUUAGGGAUAUUCGGCAAUGGGGGAAACCCUGACCGAGCAAUGCCGCGUGAACGAAGAAGUAUUUCGAUAUGUAAAGUUCUGUUGUUAAGGAAGAAAGAUACUGAUAGGGAAUGAUCAGUAGUUGACGGUACUUAACCAGAAAGCCCCUGCUAACUACGUGCCAGCAGCAGCGGUAAUACGUAGGGGGCGAGCGUUGUCCGGAAUCAUUGGGCGUAAAGGGUGCGUAGGCGGCCUAUUAAGUCCGAGUUGAAAGCCCACGGCUUAACCGUGGAGGGUGCUCGGAAACUAAUAGGCUUGAAUUCAGAAGAGGCAAGUGGAAUUCUAUAUGGAGCGGUGGAAUGCGUAGAUAUAUGGAGGAACACCAGUGGCGAAGGCGGCUUGCUGGGCUGAUAUUGACGCUGAUGCACGAAAGCGUGGGGAGCAGACAGGAUUAGAUACCCUGGUAGUCCACGCCGUAAACGAUGAGUACUAAGUGUUGGGGAGACUCAGUGCUGCAGUUAACGCAAUAAGUACUCCGCCUGGGGGAUACGAUCGCAAGAUUG
RNAcentral lists this ribosomal RNA (891 nucleotides) under uncultured bacterium. RNAcentral describes it as "bacterial SSU rRNA". It matches the Rfam family "Bacterial small subunit ribosomal RNA", at positions 28 to 896 of the family's 1533-position model. The record is from RNAcentral.